GCUCCCUUAGUUCAACGGAAGAACAGUAGAUUUUUAAUCUACCUAUGCUAGUUCGAUUCUGGCAGGGAGUACCA
RNAcentral lists this transfer RNA (74 nucleotides) under Caudoviricetes sp. RNAcentral describes it as "tRNA-Lys". It matches the Rfam family "tRNA". From Rfam's summary of the family: Transfer RNA (tRNA) molecules are approximately 80 nucleotides in length. Their secondary structure includes four short double-helical elements and three loops (D, anti-codon, and T loops). Further hydrogen bonds mediate the characteristic L-shaped molecular structure. tRNAs have two regions of fundamental functional importance: the anti-codon, which is responsible for specific mRNA codon recognition, and the 3' end, to which the tRNAs corresponding amino acid is attached (by aminoacyl-tRNA synthetases). tRNAs cope with the degeneracy of the genetic code in two manners: having more than one tRNA (with a specific anti-codon) for a particular amino acid; and 'wobble' base-pairing, i.e. permitting non-standard base-pairing at the 3rd anti-codon position. The record is from RNAcentral. Lineage: Duplodnaviria; Heunggongvirae; Uroviricota; Caudoviricetes.